RNAcentral lists this ribosomal RNA (494 nucleotides) under uncultured bacterium. Its description in RNAcentral is "partial 16S ribosomal RNA". It matches the Rfam family "Bacterial small subunit ribosomal RNA", at positions 28 to 504 of the family's 1533-position model. The record is from RNAcentral.
GAUGAACGCUGGCGGCGUGCCUAAUACAUGCAAGUCGAGCGAACAGACGAGGAGCUUGCUCCUCUGACGUUAGCGGCGGACGGGUGAGUAACACGUGGAUAACCUACCUAUAAGACUGGGAUAACUUCGGGAAACCGGAGCUAAUACCGGAUAAUAUAUUGAACCGCAUGGUUCAAUAGUGAAAGACGGUUUUGCUGUCACUUAUAGAUGGAUCCGCGCCGCAUUAGCUAGUUGGUAAGGUAACGGCUUACCAAGGCAACGAUGCGUAGCCGACCUGAGAGGGUGAUCGGCCACACUGGAACUGAGACACGGUCCAGACUCCUACGGGGGGCGGCAGGAGGGAAUCGUCCGCAAUGGGCGAAAGCCUGACGGAGCAGCGCCGCGGGAGUGAUAAAGGUCUUCGGAUCGUAAAACUCUGUUAUUAGGGAAGAACAAAUGUGUAAGUAACUAUGCACGUCUUGACGGUACCUAAUCAGAAAGCCACGGCUAACUAC